Non-coding RNA from Xenopus laevis (African clawed frog), 83 nucleotides. The record is from Rfam. NCBI's taxonomy places the organism in Eukaryota, Metazoa, Chordata, Amphibia, Anura, Pipidae.
ACCAGGAUGGCCGAGUCAUUAAGGCGUUGGACUUAAGAUUCAAUGGAUGUAUGUCCACAUGGGUUUGAAACCCACUCCUGGUA